CAACGCAGCCCUAAUGGUAGCAGCUGACUCUUAAUCAGCGGGUCCUAGGUUCGAGCCCUAGUGCGUCCACCA
This 72-nucleotide transfer RNA is filed under the name Erythrobacter sp. RNAcentral describes it as "tRNA-Lys". Lineage: Bacteria; Pseudomonadati; Pseudomonadota; Alphaproteobacteria; Sphingomonadales; Erythrobacteraceae. The record is from RNAcentral.